Molecule: ribosomal RNA, 472 nt
Filed under: uncultured bacterium
Lineage: Bacteria
Description: bacterial SSU rRNA
Rfam family: Bacterial small subunit ribosomal RNA
Source: RNAcentral
CUCUGUGACUCCUACGGGAGGCAGCAGUGGGGAAUAUUGCACAAUGGGGGAAACCCUGAUGCAGCCAUGCCGCGUGUGUGAAGAAGGCCUUCGGGUUGUAAAGCACUUUCAGUAGGGAGGAAGGUAGUGUAGUUAACACCUGCAUUAUUUGACGUUACCUACAGAAGAAGCACCGGCUAACUCCGUGCCAGCAGCCGCGGUAAUACGGAGGGUGCGAGCGUUAAUCGGAAUUACUGGGCGUAAAGCGCAUGCAGGUGGUUUGUUAAGUCAGAUGUGAAAGCCCGGGGCUCAACCUCGGAACUGCAUUUGAAACUGGCAGACUAGAGUACUGUAGAGGGGGUAGAAUUUCAGGUGUAGCGGUGAAAAUGCGUAGAGAUCUGAAGGAAUACCGGUGGCGAAGGCGGCCCCUGGACAGAUACUGACACUCAGAUGCGAAAGCGUGGGGAGCAAACAGGUUUAGAUACCCUGGGAG